This 638-nucleotide ribosomal RNA is filed under the name uncultured archaeon. RNAcentral describes it as "bacterial SSU rRNA". It matches the Rfam family "Archaeal small subunit ribosomal RNA", at positions 318 to 956 of the family's 1478-position model. The record is from RNAcentral.
AGGCCCUACGGGGCGCAGCAGGCGCGAAAACUUUACAAUGCGGGAAACCGUGAUAAGGGGACACCGAGUGCCAGCAUCAUAUGCUGGCUGUCCAGAUGUGUAAAAUACAUCUGUUAGCAAGGGCCGGGCAAGACCGGUGCCAGCCGCCGCGGUAACACCGGCGGCCCGAGUGGUGAUCGUGAUUAUUGGGUCUAAAGGGUCCGUAGCCGGUUUGGUCAGUCCUCCGGGAAAUCUGAUGGCUCAACCAUUAGGCUUUCGGGGGAUACUGCCAGGCUUGGAACCGGGAGAGGUAAGAGGUACUACAGGGGUAGGAGUGAAAUCUUGUAAUCCCUGUGAGACCACCUGUGGCGAAGGCGUCUUACCAGAACGGGUUCGACGGUGAGGGACGAAAGCUGGGGGCACGAACCGGAUUAGAUACCCGGGUAGUCCCAGCCGUAAACGAUGCUCGCUAGGUGUCAGGCAUGGCGCGACCGUGUCUGGUGCCGCAGGGAAGCCGUGAAGCGAGCCACCUGGGAAGUACGGCCGCAAGGCUGAAACUUAAAGGAAUUGGCGGGGGAGCGCAACAACGGGUGGAGCCUGCGGUUUAAUUGGACUCAACGCCGGACAACUCACCGGGGACGACAACAAUAUGUAGGCCA